GGGGCUCGAUUCAGAAAGUUAGAAGUUAUUCUUACAACGAACGUAGAAAAGCUUGGAAAAGCUGGUCAGACAGUGAAGGUUGCUCCUGGGCAUUUUCGCAAUCAUCUCAUGCCCAAAUUGCUUGCUGUUCCUAAUAUUGACAAGUUUUCUCGUCUCAUCAGGGAGCAGCGCAAGAUUUACCAGCGUGAGGAAGAAGAAGAAGUUAAAGUAGUUAAAGAGACUG
Molecule: unclassified non-coding RNA, 223 nt
Filed under: Hevea brasiliensis (rubber tree)
Lineage: Eukaryota; Viridiplantae; Streptophyta; Magnoliopsida; Malpighiales; Euphorbiaceae
Source: RNAcentral